This 1206-nucleotide ribosomal RNA is filed under the name Escherichia coli. Its description in RNAcentral is "partial 23S ribosomal RNA". It matches the Rfam family "Bacterial large subunit ribosomal RNA", at positions 1 to 1239 of the family's 2925-position model. Lineage: Bacteria; Pseudomonadati; Pseudomonadota; Gammaproteobacteria; Enterobacterales; Enterobacteriaceae. The record is from RNAcentral.
GGGUUGUGAGGUUAAGCGACUAAGCGUACACGGUGGAUGCCCUGGCAGUCAGAGGCGAUGAAGGACGUGCUAAUCUGCGAUAAGCGUCGGUAAGGUGAUAUGAACCGUUAUAACCGGCGAUUUCCGAAUGGGGAAACCCAGUGUGUUUCGACACACUAUCAUUAACUGAAUCCAUAGGUUAAUGAGGCGAACCGGGGGAACUGAAACAUCUAAGUACCCCGAGGAAAAGAAAUCAACCGAGAUUCCCCCAGUAGCGGCGAGCGAACGGGGAGGAGCCCAGAGCCUGAAUCAGUGUGUGUGUUAGUGGAAGCGUCUGGAAAGGCGCGCAAUACAGGGUGACAGCCCCGUACACAAAAAUGCACAUACUGUGAGCUCGAUGAGUAGGGCGGGACACGUGGUAUCCUGUCUGAAUAUGGGGGGACCAUCCUCCAAGGCUAAAUACUCCUGACUGACCGAUAGUGAACCAGUACCGUGAGGGAAAGGCGAAAAGAACCCCGGCGAGGGGAGUGAAAAAGAACCUGAAACCGUGUACGUACAAGCAGUGGGAGCCUCUUUUAUGGGGUGACUGCGUACCUUUUGUAUAAUGGGUCAGCGACUUAUAUUCUGUAGCAAGGUUAACCGAAUAGGGGAGCCGAAGGGAAACCGAGUCUUAACUGGGCGUUAAGUUGCAGGGUAUAGACCCGAAACCCGGUGAUCUAGCCAUGGGCAGGUUGAAGGUUGGGUAACACUAACUGGAGGACCGAACCGACUAAUGUUGAAAAAUUAGCGGAUGACUUGUGGCUGGGGGUGAAAGGCCAAUCAAACCGGGAGAUAGCUGGUUCUCCCCGAAAGCUAUUUAGGUAGCGCCUCGUGAAUUCAUCUCCGGGGGUAGAGCACUGUUUCGGCAAGGGGGUCAUCCCGACUUACCAACCCGAUGCAAACUGCGAAUACCGGAGAAUGUUAUCACGGGAGACACACGGCGGGUGCUAACGUCCGUCGUGAAGAGGGAAACAACCCAGACCGCCAGCUAAGGUCCCAAAGUCAUGGUUAAGUGGGAAACGAUGUGGGAAGGCCCAGACAGCCAGGAUGUUGGCUUAGAAGCAGCCAUCAUUUAAAGAAAGCGUAAUAGCUCACUGGUCGAGUCGGCCUGCGCGGAAGAUGUAACGGGGCUAAACCAUGCACCGAAGCUGCGGCAGCGACACUAUGUGUUGUUGGGUAGGGGAGCGU